This 72-nucleotide transfer RNA is filed under the name bovine gut metagenome. It matches the Rfam family "tRNA". Rfam says of the family: Transfer RNA (tRNA) molecules are approximately 80 nucleotides in length. Their secondary structure includes four short double-helical elements and three loops (D, anti-codon, and T loops). The record is from RNAcentral.
GAGGUAUAGCUCAGUUGGUUAGAGUGCUUGCUUGACAUGCAAGAGGUCACUGGUUCGAACCCAGUUAUCUCC